This 111-nucleotide ribosomal RNA is filed under the name Triticum aestivum (bread wheat). Its description in RNAcentral is "partial small subunit ribosomal RNA". The record is from RNAcentral. Lineage: Eukaryota; Viridiplantae; Streptophyta; Magnoliopsida; Poales; Poaceae.
AUGAAGGACGCCAUGGAGGCGGCUAUUCCGAGGCAUAUUGUAUAUAUAACCGGUGUCACCGUUUGCAUCGUAUCAAAAAUAGCCAUUCCUGAGAUUAGCCACCUGCAAUAG